RNAcentral lists this ribosomal RNA (753 nucleotides) under Triticum aestivum (bread wheat). RNAcentral's name for it is "partial small subunit ribosomal RNA". The record is from RNAcentral. Lineage: Eukaryota; Viridiplantae; Streptophyta; Magnoliopsida; Poales; Poaceae.
UUAAUUCUCAGGUAUGAGCAUACUCUCACCAAGCUUAAUAGUUUUUAUAAGCAGAGAGGUAAGGAGGGUUGGGCCAUUGAUGGUGAUCGUAAUACAAAGUUUUUUCAUCAAGUUGUGCUAAAGAGAAGAAAAAGGAAUACUAUAUCCGUUAAGGAUGAAAAUGAUGUUAUGAACUUUAAAACCACCCUCAUUACUAACACCUUUGUUACCUAUUUCAGCAACUCUGGAAGACCUUUUCUCGCUACUCAUUUACAAGAGGACUCUUUGGAUCCUACUUAUUUAAUUCCACAUAAAAAUGAAGUUUGGUAGAUUUUGAAAGACAUGGAGUUGAAUGCCUCACCAGGGCCGGAUGGAUUUAAUGUUGAGUUUUAUUUGGCUGCUUGGGAUUGGAUAGGAGAUGAAGUCACUCAAUUGGUGGUCAAUUUUUAUAAAACAGGUAUAUUACCACCUAAUAUAAGCGAUACUAACAUUGCACUCAUUCCUAACAAGCUUGUUCCUCAGGUUCCCAUGGAUUAUCGUCCCAUUAGUCUUUGUAAUGUUAUUUACAAAAUCAUUGCCAAAUCUUUAGCGAACCGUCUUAAAGCCCAUCUUCCUGAUUAUAUUGACCCUGCUCAACAAGCUUUAUUGAGGGUAGAAGAAUUAGUGAUAAUAUCAUUAUUGCUCAAGAGAUCACUCACUCUUUUGCUCUUCGAUUAUGGAAUCACCUUGCUUUCAUGCUUAAAAUUGAUAUUGCUAAGGCUUUUGAUCGUUUAG